CAGGCGUGCAAAGCUCUUGGAGACUUACCCAGAAUCCCAGCUGUUAUCAUUACCAAAGGUGAUUCUAACGUGUAUUGACUCCGGUGGUUGAAAACUUAUCUAAUCAAAAUAUAUUAGUGUUUGUUUUCCAUACAUUUUUUUUAUUGUCAUUUAAAUUUUAUUCCACUUUGACAUUACAGAGUAAAUCGUUGACCCCAAAAAAUACAAUAAAAAAAUUUUCAAGCACACUUUGUAACACAACAUUUUUUUUUUGGGGGGGGGGAAAAUGUAUGAGUGUGAAUACGGUCUGAAGGUACUGUAAGUACCUUGACAUGAUAUUACUGUAUAAAAAUGACACAAUUAUACCUAAUAUGACAAAAAAAUCAACUAAUCAUCUCCUUUGCAUUUGGCUUGUGUUUUGUCAGUUCUUUAAUGUGCUUUGUCAGUUAUUUCAUGGUCACUUCCCCAUACUGUUGAAUACGUUUCUAAUUAAACAGUCCCGCUGAGAGAGAUAAGACAACAACAAGAUAUAAUACAACAUGUGUUUACUGCAUUACACUAUAUGUACACUUAGAAUAACAAGCCAAUUACCUGUUUGUCACUUGUAAACAACUAAAAACAGGAGCGAACAGAAUGAAUGAGCGGAAAGUGUUUUUAAAGUCCCUCAGUUACCAGGAUCUCCUAAUAAGGCCGAAGCUAAUUACAACAGACUGAAGCUGGCCAUAACUGGCCACCAAUGGUAGGUUGUUAGCAUUGUGGGGAUUACUGGUUACAGAGGGGAUUUGAACCUAUUUUAGACUGAGCAAGCUAAUCUUACUACAGACAGUAAUUAGUGCCAGGAGAAUUUUCUGGACCUCAUGACCUGAUCAGGAAAAACUCUGAACCCUCGUUAUAGGCUGUAAUUAGGACCCCAGAGUUUUUCCCUGGUCAGGUUACAUGGUCAGGAAAAAAACGUCAUGUCUAGAAAUGUUUUCAAUGUCUGGAAAUAGUAGAUCGUUGAAGCGUAGACCCCCCCCCCCCCAAAAAAGUUGACUUAUAAAAAUAAAAAAAACAGAACUAUGAGGUAUACCAGGUAGCGACAAAUAUUAAUUUAUUAAAGAUACAGUUGAACAUACAGGUUUCUUCCUUCCCAACCUCACAAAAAUGUAGUACGUCAAUUUAUGGUAACAUACUAAUAGUAAUAAUACACAUUUAAAGGUGGUUUUGAUACCUAGCCCCUAGCCCCUAACCCCUAGCCCCUAGC
This 1222-nucleotide long non-coding RNA is filed under the name Salmo salar (Atlantic salmon). RNAcentral's name for it is "lncRNA (ENSSSAG00000097910.1)". The record is from RNAcentral. Lineage: Eukaryota; Metazoa; Chordata; Actinopteri; Salmoniformes; Salmonidae.